UACGGAGGGGGUUAGCGUUGUUCGGAAUUACUGGGCGUAAAGCGUACGUAGGCGGACUUUUAAGUUAGAGGUGAAAUCCCAGGGCUCAACCCUGGAACUGCCUUUAAUACUGGGAGUCUUGAGUUCGAGAGAGGUGAGUGGAAUUCCAAGUGUAGAGGUGAAAUUCGUAGAUAUUUGGAGGAACACCAGUGGCGAAGGCGGCUCACUGGCUCGAUACUGACGCUGAGGUACGAAAGUGUGGGGAGCAAACAGG
This 253-nucleotide ribosomal RNA is filed under the name uncultured bacterium. RNAcentral's name for it is "partial 16S ribosomal RNA". It matches the Rfam family "Bacterial small subunit ribosomal RNA", at positions 524 to 776 of the family's 1533-position model. The record is from RNAcentral.